CCAGAUUUCCAGGAACAAACAUCUCAAAAUCAAACCGGUUGAACAGCAGAUGGCGACCAAGGAAUGAGUUUGCGCCCCCCUCAUCUACAAACACUAAAGAGAGCGAAAAAUCGAUUCAGCUGGGGAAGGUUCGGAGAGUAACCUCCUCCUCACACAGACCAGAUCCCCACAAGUUAGUAGUAGAAGGAAUAUGAACGAACGAAACAUGGUCAUACGUGAACCCGCGCACCUGCGGACGAUGAAGUCCUGUCUUCUUCUUGACGCGCUACCUGCACAGACUCGACCAAUCGAUCACGUUCACCUGGAUUACAAGAUGGGUUUUGGAUGCCUUAAUAAAAGUGGACGCUAGAUGGCAG
Long non-coding RNA from Mugil cephalus (flathead mullet), 356 nucleotides. RefSeq lists it as uncharacterized. The transcript has 3 exons. NCBI's taxonomy places the organism in Eukaryota, Metazoa, Chordata, Actinopteri, Mugiliformes, Mugilidae. The record is from RefSeq and is a predicted model, not a curated record.